AACGAACGCUGGCGGCAGGCCUAACACAUGCAAGUCGAGCACCCUUUCGGGGGCGCGGCGGACGGGUGAGUAACGCGUGGGAAUAUGCCCUUCUCUACGGAAUAGCCUCGGGAAACUGAGAGUAAUACCGUAUACGCCCUGUGGGGGAAAGAUUUAUCGGGGAAGGAUUAGCCCGCGUUGGAUUAGGUAGUUGGUAGGGUAAUGGCCUACCAAGCCGACGAUCCAUAGCUGGUUUGAGAGGAUGAUCAGCCACACUGGGACUGAGACACGGCCCAGACUCCUACGGGAGGCAGCAGUGGGGAAUCUUAGACAAUGGGGGCAACCCUGAUCGAGCCAUGCCGCGUGAGUGAUGAAGGCCUUAGGGUUGUAAAGCUCUUUCAGCUGGGAAGAUAAUGACGGUACCAGCAGAAGAAGCCCCGGCUAACUCCGUG
This 431-nucleotide ribosomal RNA is filed under the name uncultured bacterium. RNAcentral describes it as "partial 16S ribosomal RNA". It matches the Rfam family "Bacterial small subunit ribosomal RNA", at positions 29 to 507 of the family's 1533-position model. The record is from RNAcentral.